This 429-nucleotide ribosomal RNA is filed under the name Actinomycetes bacterium. Its description in RNAcentral is "Actinobacteria bacterium partial 16S ribosomal RNA". It matches the Rfam family "Bacterial small subunit ribosomal RNA", at positions 355 to 776 of the family's 1533-position model. The record is from RNAcentral. Lineage: Bacteria; Bacillati; Actinomycetota; Actinomycetes.
UAGGGAAUCUUCCGCAAUGGGCGAAAGCCUGACGGAGCAACGCCGCGUGAGUGACGAAGGUCUUCGGAUCGUAAAACUCUGUUAUUAGGGAAGAACAAAUGUGUAAGUAACUAUGCACGUCUUGACGGUACCUAAUCAGACAGCCACGGCUAACUACGUGCCAGCAGCCGCGGUAAUACGUAGGUGGCAAGCGUUAUCCGGUAUUAUUGGGCGUAAAGCGCUCGUAGGCGGUUUUUUAAGUCUGAUGUGAAAGCCCACGGCUCAACCGUGGAGGGUCAUUGGAAACCGGAAAGCUUGAGUGCAGAAGAGGAAAGUGGAAUUCCAUGUGUAGCGGUGAAAUGGGCGAAGAUAUGGAGGAACACCAGUGGCGAAGGCGACUUUCUGGUCUGUAACUGACGCUGAUGUGCGAAAGCGUGGGGAUCAAACAGG